AUUGGAACAAGGUGAAGAUAUGCAAUUGUGAUGGUGCACCUUUUGCUAGUCUCCUAGAAAAUGAGGCUCAGGAUAAUACAGAUGUAUUAGCCUAUUGGUUGUCUAAUACAUCUACUUUAUUGAUGCUGCUACAACGCACCCUCAAAGCAAGUGGAGCUGCUAGCUUAACACCUCAGCGGCGGAGAACAGCGUCAUCUUCUCUGUUUGGAAGGAUGUCUCAAGGGCUAAGGGCAUCUCCUCAAAGUGCUGGAUUGCCUUUUAUAAAUGGAAGAAGUCUUAGUAGACUUGAUGGUUUAUGACAAGUAGAAGCAAAAUAUCCGGCACUUUCGUUUAAGCAACAGCUUACUGCCUUCCUUGAGAAGUUAUAUAGAAUGAUACGAGACAACCUGAAAAAGGAGAUAUCCCCAUUACUUGGACUGUGUAUAUAGGCUCCAAGGACCUCCCAUCAAGGUUUAGUAAAAGGACGCUCACAUGCUAAUGCGGUUGCUCAGCAAAGCUUUAAUAGCUCACUAGCAAAGUAUUGUGAAAAGCUUGAACAACUCGCUAAAGAUAAUGAAAACAAACUAUGGUGUAGUUUCACUUUAUGGGAUGACAGAUCCAAAAGAUAAGCCUAUAGUGUUCUGCUCUACUAGAGACAACUCAGUUCUCCUCUAUGAAUUGCCAUCGUAAGUCAACUUGCAACCAUUGCCAUCACCAUCACCUUCUAAUCUAAACUUGAUUUGGUUCUUGAUUGUAUCUCUACAUUUAUGAGAAGUACAUGAAAGGGGUAAGUUUUAUACAUGUUGGAUUAUGCAGUGCUUUAGGCGGAUAAACUAACAUUGGAUCAACUCUGAAAGAGUUGUGCAUGGAUAGUUUCAAUCUCGUUAAUACUAAAGUUAUUUGAGGUCUUUCUGAAGAGUUUAUCAAGGAUUAUGUCAUGGCAUGCAGUCGCAAUCUUAAGGGCCUUGUUUUAAAGGAUUGUAUAAAUUUGCUCGUAGGUUGAAUGUGCUUGACAUUUCGAAUUUGUGCAAAUUGACAGAUUCGUCUCUAGGAUAUUUUAAGAAUAGAUUUCGACAAUUGAGUACUUUGAAGCUCUGCCGCAAUCCAUUCAAUGAUGAGGCAAUUGCUGCUUUUUUGGAGAUAGGUGGAAAAACCUUGAAAGAACUUUCACUUAAUAACAUUUACUCAUCUACCCAAAAUGAAGACUUUUCUACUUUAGAACAAGUGGGUUUCACUAGUUAUGGUCUAAGAAUUUCUUUCUUGAUGCUGAUUGUAUGAUGUUUUGGUGCUUCACUUUGUUUUGCAGCUAUUCAAAAGAUAAGUUUGCUAUUCUUUUCGGUCAUGAGUAUCAAGUGUUUGGAUAAAUGUUUUAUAUACAUCUAAGUAUAUAAUACCUAUACACUGACCAUGGUGCAUACUCCCAGUUUGUACAUGUUUUACAAAACAUAUUACUUAUAUCUUCAUUAUUGGAUUGACGACGGCUGUUAUCAUUUAAUAAUUUGUGAUAGUUAUGUUGUAUAGGCCCGAGCUUUAUAAGUCUAGGGUUUUGGAACUGAAUGCUAGUGAUGAUCGUGGUAUUAAUGUUGUUCGGACUAAGAUUAAAGAUUUUGCGGUCGUGGCUGUCGGUACCAAUCAGAAAAAGAAGAUUAUAGAACCACUUGAUUCUAGGUGUGCCAAGUUCAGGUUCAAGCCAAUGACAGAAGAAAUCAUGAGCAACCGAAUAUUGUACAUCUGCAAAGAAGAAGGAAUCUACCUUGACGCUGAGGUAAGAGCCUUAGAGCAUAUAAAACUGUGUUAUUUUAAUGGUAUGCCUUAAAACCC
Vicia villosa (hairy vetch) is the source of this 1800-nucleotide long non-coding RNA. RefSeq lists it as uncharacterized. NCBI's taxonomy places the organism in Eukaryota, Viridiplantae, Streptophyta, Magnoliopsida, Fabales, Fabaceae. The transcript is spliced from 8 exons. The record is from RefSeq and is a predicted model, not a curated record.